Long non-coding RNA from Triticum aestivum (bread wheat), 959 nucleotides. RefSeq lists it as uncharacterized. The transcript has 3 exons. The record is from RefSeq and is a predicted model, not a curated record. Lineage: Eukaryota; Viridiplantae; Streptophyta; Magnoliopsida; Poales; Poaceae.
CGACACAAGCCUUCACUCUCUCCCUGCAAGGCAGCGGUGCUGCCAUCUCUCCUUAUCUCCCCGCCACGGCGUGGCCGCCGCCAUAUCUCCCCUCAUGGCUACUCCCAGCUGCCUCCCCUCCAUGGCGUGUCAAUCAACCCACACCCUUCUCUCACCGCCGCCUCCCAUCCCCCAUGGCGUCGCUCAUCCCAUCCACUCCCCGCCACGGCGUUGCCAACACAUCUGGCACGGCGAGCAGCGAGAUCCGACCGGGAGGUGGAGAAGGCCUCGUUGUUAUCCGUUCGCAGAAGUCCACGUAGCUGGCCUGUCCGGAUUUGGGCAAGAUGACCUCAGGCACGAGGUGUGGCUCGACAAGUUGGAGGGAUGGCCCCCUGGUUCUCAGGCCCGGUCUUCUAGUUCAGCCGAGACGCACCGUCCAUCUCCAUAGCGGGGACAUCCCAGGCAGCAGCGGAGUAGCCUCCAAGGAAAGCCGGACCAAGCGUGAGCACGACAAGUAACUCGAGGCGCUGCACCGGUGACCAUGGGAGUCUUGUACACGAAGAAGUACUACAAAUUGGCCAAGCACCAGUAUUGGAUGCGUCAAAUCUCGGACUGAUCAAACCCAACAGCCUCGUUCGGUUCAGGGGGAUGGUUCAGGACAUGCUCGGGGCGAGUUCUAUGCCGGCUCUUUAGAGGAUGUGCUACCUGGAGGACAAAAAAGUUCACAGACUUCUCACCAUUCUCGAUGAUGUACCCAUGUGAUUCGCAUCUCUGGGAGCACCAUCUCUGCCAUUGCGUGCCUGUAUGUUACUACAUGCCUGAGCACUUGUUUUUUUCACUUUCUUACCAUUAGUGUAGUUCACCUGGAACUUAUGAAAAUAACUUCUUUAAGGUGCAUAGGCAGAAUUCUUGGAUACUGGAGUCUCCCCCUGGACCUGUCUUUCGCCAAAUGGCAAACUGGUUGACACCUGAACAAAGAG